CCAAUAGCGUAUAUUAAAGUUGUUGCAGUUAAAAAGCUCGUAGUUGAAUUUCGGGAUCAAAUUGUCGGUCGUGCCUCGGUACGUACUGGCGUUAUUGGUUCCUACCUUCUGAAGAACCACGAUGUCAUUAAUUUGGUGUCGCGGGGAAUCAGGACUGUUACUUUGAAAAAAUUAGAGUGUUUAAAGCAGGCUCGCGCUUGAAUACAUUAGCAUGGAAUAAUGAAAUAGGACGUUUGAUUCUAUUUUGUUGGUUUCUAGGAUCGACGUAAUGAUUAAUAGGGAUAGUUGGGGGCAUUAGUAUUCAAUUGUCAGAGGUGAAAUUCUUGGAUUUAUUGAAGACUAACUACUGCGAAAGCAUUUGCCAAGGAUGUUUUCAUUAAUCAAGAACGAAAGUUAGGGGAUCGAAGACGAUCAGAUACCGUCGUAGUCUUAACCAUAAACUAUGCCGACUAGGGAUCGGAUGAUGUUAAUUUUUUAAUGACUCAUUCGGCGCCUUACG
Molecule: ribosomal RNA, 499 nt
Filed under: uncultured Glomeromycotina
Lineage: Eukaryota; Fungi; Glomeromycota
Description: partial small subunit ribosomal RNA
Rfam family: Eukaryotic small subunit ribosomal RNA
Source: RNAcentral